This 465-nucleotide ribosomal RNA is filed under the name uncultured bacterium. RNAcentral's name for it is "partial 16S ribosomal RNA". It matches the Rfam family "Bacterial small subunit ribosomal RNA", at positions 338 to 795 of the family's 1533-position model. The record is from RNAcentral.
CCUACGGGUGGCUGCAGUAGGGAAUCUUCCACAAUGGGCGCAAGCCUGAUGGAGCAACACCGCGUGAGUGAAGAAGGGUUUCGGCUCGUAAAGCUCUGUUGUUGGAGAAGAACGUGCGUGAGAGUAACUGUUCACGCAGUGACGGUAUCCAACCAGAAAGUCACGGCUAACUACGUGCCAGCAGCCGCGGUAAUACGUAGGUGGCAAGCGUUAUCCGGAUUUAUUGGGCGUAAAGCGAGCGCAGGCGGUUGCUUAGGUCUGAUGUGAAAGCCUUCGGCUUAACCGAAGAAGUGCAUCGGAAACCGGGCAACUUGAGUGCAGAAGAGGACAGUGGAACUCCAUGUGUAGCGGUGGAAUGCGUAGAUAUAUGGAAGAACACCAGUGGCGAAGGCGGCCGCCUGGCCUGUUACUGACGCUGAGGCACGAAAGCGUGGGGAGCAAAUAGGAUUAGAUACCCUUGUAGUC